UGGGCCCAACUUUAAAAAUGCAGAACGAAAAGUUGGCCUCACCUUCAUCCUUCGAUCCAGAGUUUCGUUUCCAAACCGACUCUCGACAUCGACGAAACUGCAAAUUUGAGGAAUGGAUGUGAAUAACUUUAAAACUCAGCUGAAAAAGCACAGUGAUAACAUAAGUGCUCUGGAACGCAAUAUGCAAUACAGCGGGUCCAUAAAUAUGCUCAUGAAAAACCUUUCCGUCAAGAUUGAAUCGAGUCAUGCUCAACAUUCUGAAGCCAUAGGAGCCUUGGGGCAAGAGGAUGAGGAACUAUUGUCAGAUGUUAAAUCAAUGAAAACAGAGAGAGAAAUGAUACGCGGGGAGAUGAAGGAAAUAAACAAAACUUUAGAAAAGCUGAAAACUGAUAAGAUGGAGGGAGAAAGGUUGUUGGGGGAAGCGUAUGACCGUAUCUCAAUGCUGGAUGCUGAAAUGGAGACAUCAAAAAAGAGUACUACAGAUACGAUUGCAGGCAUGGAUUAUGAUAAAUUUAAAACCCAGCAGAAAGAGCACAAUAAUCAUAUAAAUGCUCUUGAAGACAACUUGCGAUACGAUCGUCGGGUCAUGAAUAUCCUCUUGAAAGACAUUAAAGAGGAGAUUGAAAUGUUUCAUUGUAAGCGUUCCACAGACUUAGAAGCGUUGAUGCAAGAAAAUGAGGAAUUGUUGUUGUUACUAUUGUCAGAAGUUGAAUCAGGGAAGACGAAGAAACAAAUGUGUGAAAACAUUAAACAUGGAUAAUGAAGAUAUGAUUAGAGAUUUAUCUGAAAAGGUUGAAAACUUGGAGCAGUGGAUUUUCUCAGGUCCUUUCUAAGUGGAAGAAUACCCAAUAAAACAGAUUUUAGGGCUCUAAUAUCAAGUUUCCCUUGUCUUGGUUAUGUUAGAAGAAAUGAAACACACUCAAAGAUUGAUUAUACAAAUGAACAAAUUCAAGCAACAUGGAUUCCCGAUGUUUUUCACUUCUUUAGAGCUCAAAAAAUAUAUAAAUCAUGGAAUUUGGUCAUGUGGGUUUCAUGAAAACACUAUGCUCAUUUUGGUGACAUAUAUUUAAAAUGUGGAAUGCAGCUGAGUUUUGGUAUUAUAUAGUUUUCAAUUUUAAGGGUAGCAGAGGAGGGCUGAGGCUGCAUGGAUAUGGAGUGAUGAUGACCUACAUUACAUUUUUGGUGACAAGUAGUCUUUGAUUUUGUAGGGGUGUUUUUUGAAUAUGAUACAAUACGGGUUAACCAGAAAAUAAGCCCUCAAGAGUACAUAACAAACCUCAGUGGCUGAAACAUAAAUAUAUAUAUAUAUAUAUAUAUAUUUAAUAAUUAUAAUUAUUCCAAUAUGAAAACCGUACUACAAUCA
This is an unclassified non-coding RNA of Vigna unguiculata (cowpea), 1363 nucleotides long. NCBI's taxonomy places the organism in Eukaryota, Viridiplantae, Streptophyta, Magnoliopsida, Fabales, Fabaceae. The record is from RefSeq and is a predicted model, not a curated record.